This 581-nucleotide ribosomal RNA is filed under the name uncultured bacterium. RNAcentral describes it as "bacterial SSU rRNA". It matches the Rfam family "Bacterial small subunit ribosomal RNA", at positions 79 to 653 of the family's 1533-position model. The record is from RNAcentral.
CUUGCUCUGCCGGCGACCGGCGCACGGGUGAGUAACACGUAUGCAACCUGCCCUCCGCAGGGGGAUAACCCGGAGAAAUCCGGACUAAUACCGCGUGAUACACUUGUGGGGCAUCCCACGGGUGUUAAAAGGAAGUGAUUCCGGCGGAGGAUGGGCAUGCGGCGCAUUAGCUGGUUGGCGGGGUAACGGCCCACCAAGGCGACGAUGCGUAGGGGUUCUGAGAGGAAGGUCCCCCACACUGGUACUGAGACACGGACCAGACUCCUACGGGAGGCAGCAGUGAGGAAUAUUGGUCAAUGGGCGGGAGCCUGAACCAGCCAAGUCGCGUGAGGGAAGACGGUCCUAUGGAUUGUAAACCUCUUUAGGCGGGGAGCAAUGCCGGGCACGCGUGCCCGGAGGGAGAGUACCCGCAGAAUAAGCAUCGGCUAACUCCGUGCCAGCAGCCGCGGUAAUACGGAGGAUGCGAGCGUUAUCCGGAUUUAUUGGGUUUAAAGGGUGCGUAGGCGGAUUUUUAAGUCAGCGGUAAAGUGUCCGGGCUCAACCCGGGCCGGCCGUUGAAACUGGGGAUCUUGAGUGGGCGA